GUUGAGAGGAAUGUUGUCUGGCUCGAGGUCAUGGAAAUAUAUAUACAUCAAGUGUUUCAGUUUCCAGGGUGAAUUAAUGAUUCUCGGACCAGGCUUCAUUCCCCCCAGC
This is a non-coding RNA of Cajanus cajan (pigeon pea), 109 nucleotides long. The record is from Rfam. Lineage: Eukaryota; Viridiplantae; Streptophyta; Magnoliopsida; Fabales; Fabaceae.